GUGGGGGAUAUUGCGCAAUGGGGGGAACCCUGACGCAGCAACGCCGCGUGAAGGAAGAAGGUUUUCGGAUCGUAAACUUCUUUAAGUGGGGAAGAUAGUGACGGUACCCACAGAAUAAGCCACGGCUAACUACGUGCCAGCAGCCGCGGUAAUACGUAGGUGGCAAGCGUUGUCCGGAUUUACUGGGUGUAAAGGGCGUGUAGGCGGGAUGGUAAGUCAGAUGUGAAAUACCGGGGCUCAACUCCGGGGCUGCAUUUGAAACUGCCGUUCUUGAGUGUCGGAGAGGAAAGCGGAAUUCCUAGUGUAGCGGUGAAAUGCGUAGAUAUUAGGAGGAACACCAGUGGCGAAGGCGGCUUUCUGGACGAUAACUGACGCUGAGGCGCGAAAGCGUGGGGAGCAAACAGG
This 405-nucleotide ribosomal RNA is filed under the name uncultured bacterium. RNAcentral's name for it is "bacterial SSU rRNA". It matches the Rfam family "Bacterial small subunit ribosomal RNA", at positions 354 to 776 of the family's 1533-position model. The record is from RNAcentral.